GACGAACGCUGGCGGCGUGCUUAACACAUGCAAGUCGAACGGAAAGGCCUCUUUCGGGGGGUACUCGCGUGGCGAACGGGUGAGUAACACGUGAGUAACCUGCCCUUGACUUUGGGAUAACUUCAGGAAACUGGGGCUAAUACCGGAUAGGAGCUCCUGCUGCAUGGUGGGGGUUGGAAAGUUUCGGCGGUUGGGGAUGGACUCGCGGCUUAUCCGCUUGUUGGUGGGGUAGUGGCUUACCAAGGCUUUGACGGGUAGCCGGCCUGAGAGGGUGACCGGCCACAUUGGGACUUAGAUACGGCCCAGACUCCUACGGGAGGCAGCAGUGGGGAAUAUUGCACAAUGGGUGGAAGCCUGAUGCAGCAACGCCGUGGGCGGGAUGACGGCCUUCGGGUUGUAAACCGCUUUCGCUCAUGACGAAGCUUUGUGUGACGGUAGUGGGUAAAGAAGCACCGGCUAACUACGUG
RNAcentral lists this ribosomal RNA (467 nucleotides) under uncultured bacterium. Its description in RNAcentral is "partial 16S ribosomal RNA". It matches the Rfam family "Bacterial small subunit ribosomal RNA", at positions 28 to 507 of the family's 1533-position model. The record is from RNAcentral.